GGGCCGUUAGCUCAGUUGGUAGAGCACCUCGUUUGCAACGAGGGGGUCGCAGGUUCGAAUCCUGUACGGUCCACAA
Molecule: transfer RNA, 76 nt
Filed under: Parcubacteria group bacterium 21-58-10
Lineage: Bacteria
Also listed under: 1 other name
Description: tRNA-Ala
Rfam family: tRNA
About the family: Transfer RNA (tRNA) molecules are approximately 80 nucleotides in length. Their secondary structure includes four short double-helical elements and three loops (D, anti-codon, and T loops). Further hydrogen bonds mediate the characteristic L-shaped molecular structure. tRNAs have two regions of fundamental functional importance: the anti-codon, which is responsible for specific mRNA codon recognition, and the 3' end, to which the tRNAs corresponding amino acid is attached (by aminoacyl-tRNA synthetases). tRNAs cope with the degeneracy of the genetic code in two manners: having more than one tRNA (with a specific anti-codon) for a particular amino acid; and 'wobble' base-pairing, i.e. permitting non-standard base-pairing at the 3rd anti-codon position.
Source: RNAcentral